Tarenaya hassleriana is the source of this 1504-nucleotide long non-coding RNA. RefSeq lists it as uncharacterized. The transcript has 3 exons. The record is from RefSeq and is a predicted model, not a curated record. NCBI's taxonomy places the organism in Eukaryota, Viridiplantae, Streptophyta, Magnoliopsida, Brassicales, Cleomaceae.
UUCCUCGUCAUCACCCGAUUCCAUCGACGAGUUAUAGCUCCGUCGACCGCGCCGCCGCUUCUCCGCCCCGUCACCGCGGCGGUGAAUCCAUUCAUCCGGCCAUGAGAUCUCCUCCGACUUCCGGUUCUCCAUGCCCGUCUCCCUCUCCCCUCCUCCGGCCAUUCUUCCACCCCUUCCUCCUCGGUCUCAUCCUCGUUGGCCGCCGUCAAGCUCGUCUUCCGCCGCUUACAACCACUUCCAUGUCCGCCGGUCUCUACUCGUUCCCCUCUAGCCACGCCUCUCGCUUCUUCUUCGUCGCUGUGUCCGUUCACUUCUUAUCUUUAGCCGCCGCAGCUUAGGUGAGUUGUGUUGGUAGGGAUCAUGCGAUGGCGACGUGAAAGAGGAGGUCGUUGCCGUUGUGUGGGCUUGGGCGGCUGUGUCCGCCAUUUCUAGGGCUAUUUUCGGGCGGCAUUUUGUGCUGGAUUUUGCUGCUGGUGCGUGCUCGGGGGAUUAUGGAGGCUCUCUCCGCGCUUCGGUUUCUGAGAUUGGAGAUCUUUGGAAGGUUUCGACAGUUCUUGUAUGACAUUAACGUUCGAAACGGCAGGAGCUCGGGUAUAUUCUUUAGAGGUGCAAAAGCUGCAACACCUUAGAUGACCACACCAGAUUCUCAUUGUCAGUAACUUUGGAUGUUUAAGGGCCCGCGACUGGAGUGUUCUUCACUCGUGGAGUAAAUUCACAAUUUCUGCAGGGACUUGGUUGAUAAGACGGAGGAAACAGAGACAGGCUUAGAUGGGGAGGAGGUGUAAAGCAAUGCCCCCAUUUCAAUUCAAUGGAAAUGACCACAGGGCUCCUGGUACGCAUCUUCUUGUCCUCUUGGGUCAAAUUUUGGGUUAAACCGGUCUUCUUGACCCAAAUUGUUAAUCGAACCAAAAUUUUCGGUUUGCCAGAGUUUUGAUACCCAAAACCAGACUGAACACCUUGCUUGCUUUCAUAACCCUUAGUCCCUUAGUAUGCCAUUGUUGUGUUCCGGGCAAACUGAUUGACAAAACCAAACUGAAAUAAGAACUCUAGUUUGCCCAAACUUUGAUUUCGGUUUAGUUUGGAGCUUGUCUGGGUUCAAGCAUCUGACUCUUGAAGAUGUUUCACUUUCAUUUUGGACUGAUAUAACAACAAUUCAUGACACAUUACUGGGUCUAGAUUACAUUUUCUUUUUAGAUCUGUGAUGAACCGGAAACCAGAAGACUGGACUGGAGUCGAAGGGUUUGAUUAGGUUCGGUAUAAGUUCAUCUGGUUUCUAGUAUUUAUACCAAACUUUGGAAUGGGGUUUUGAUCAUUUAAUGACAUUAUUGGUUGCUUAUGUUGUUUUCCCUGUGUUUUGGUGUUGCAAAAGCAGAGGCAAACAAAGUUGGAUGGUACAUUAUGAUUAUUCAACAAUACCCACCAUUUUGGAAACUUUUCUCCAUUCACAUGGUUACUCCUGUAGAAUCACCCACUUAUUCAACAACCCUUAAUGAUGCUAAUUAAG